This 253-nucleotide ribosomal RNA is filed under the name uncultured bacterium. RNAcentral's name for it is "partial 16S ribosomal RNA". It matches the Rfam family "Bacterial small subunit ribosomal RNA", at positions 524 to 776 of the family's 1533-position model. The record is from RNAcentral.
GACGAACCGUCCAAACGUUUAUUCGGAAUCACUGGGCUUACAGAGUUCGUAGGCGGUCUGGAAAGUUGGGUGUGAAAUCCCUCGGCUCAACCGAGGAACUGCGCUUGAAACUACCAGACUCGAGGGAGAUAGAGGAAAGCGGAACUGAUGGUGGAGCGGUGAAAUGCGUUGAUAUCAUCAGGAACACCGGUGGCGAAGGCGGCUUCUGGGUCUUACCUGACGCUGAGGAACGAAAGCCAGGGGAGCGAACGGG